UAGUCCACGCCGUAAACGAUGGAUACUAGCUGUCCGCUGCCUUGAGCAGUGGGCGGCCAAGCGAAAGUGAUAAGUAUCCCACCUGGGGAGUACGUUCGCAAGAAUGAAACUCAAAGGAAUUGACGGGGGGCCCGCACAAGCGGUGGAGCAUGUGGUUUAAUUCGAUGAUACGCGAGGAACCUUACCAGGGCUUAAAUGCAUACUGACAGGUCCAGAGAUGGACUUUUCUUCGGACAGUUUGCAAGGUGCUGCAUGGUUGUCGUCAGCUCGUGCCGUGAGGUGUCAGGUUAAGUCCUAUAACGAGCGCAACCCCUACCGUUAGUUGCCAGCGAGUCAAGUCGGGGACUCUAACGGGACUGCCGGUGCAAACCGUGAGGGAAGGUGGGGAUGACGUCAAAUCAUCACGGGCCCUUACGUCCUGGGGCCACACACGUGCUAC
RNAcentral lists this ribosomal RNA (439 nucleotides) under uncultured bacterium. RNAcentral describes it as "bacterial SSU rRNA". It matches the Rfam family "Bacterial small subunit ribosomal RNA", at positions 791 to 1228 of the family's 1533-position model. The record is from RNAcentral.